CAAGUGAAGCCAUUACUAGAAUUCAAAUAAGAGGAUUCCAGCCCACCAAUAUCUUUCGUCACAUAUCAUGUCAAUUCGAUUGAAUCGUGAGUUAUUGUCAAUUAUAAUAUUUGUUUAUGGUGAUCUUUUUCAUCAGCGUCAUCUCCGGUUCUCGACCGAUAAAUCUACUCCUGAUCAAUGCAUGGUUUGCAGAAAUCAUUUGGGUAUUUGAUUCGGGGAUCAAUAGACAAAUAUUUUUGAUCGAAGGAAUUGGCCUCUAUGAUGACUUCUU
This is a long non-coding RNA of Arabidopsis thaliana (thale cress), 271 nucleotides long. RefSeq annotates it as other RNA. The record is from RefSeq. The transcript has a single exon. NCBI's taxonomy places the organism in Eukaryota, Viridiplantae, Streptophyta, Magnoliopsida, Brassicales, Brassicaceae.